This 253-nucleotide ribosomal RNA is filed under the name uncultured bacterium. Its description in RNAcentral is "partial 16S ribosomal RNA". It matches the Rfam family "Bacterial small subunit ribosomal RNA", at positions 524 to 776 of the family's 1533-position model. The record is from RNAcentral.
UACGUAGGGUGCAAGCGUUAAUCGGAAUUACUGGGCGUAAAGCGUGCGCAGGCGGUUUUGUAAGACUGUCGUGAAAUCCCCGGGCUUAACCUGGGAAUGGCGAUGGUGACUGCAAGGCUAGAGUUUGGCAGAGGGGGGUAGAAUUCCACGUGUAGCAGUGAAAUGCGUAGAGAUGUGGAGGAACACCGGUGGCGAAGGCGACAUCCUGGACCGGUAUUGACGCUGAGGCGCGAAAGCCAGGGGAGCAAACGGG